RNAcentral lists this ribosomal RNA (451 nucleotides) under uncultured eukaryote. RNAcentral describes it as "eukaryotic LSU rRNA". It matches the Rfam family "Eukaryotic large subunit ribosomal RNA", at positions 2406 to 2859 of the family's 3401-position model. The record is from RNAcentral.
GAAGACCCUUUUGAGCUUGACUCUAGUCCGACUUUGUGAAAUGACUUACGAGGUAUAGCCUAAGUGGGAGCUCACGCGAACCUGUAAAACCACUACUCGUUUUGCCAUUUUACUUAUUCCGUGAAAUAGUGACCACUUUCCGGUGGUUCUAGUAUUAAGGUUAGGCGCAAGCUCGACUGAACUAAGCGGAAGACAUGGUCAGGUGGGGAGGUUUGGCUGGGGCGGGCACAUCUGUUAAACUAUAACGCAGGUGUCCUACGGUGAGCUCAGAGAGAACAGAAAUCUCUCGUAGACCAAAAGGGGAAAAGCUCACUUGAUUUUGAUUUUCAGUAUGAAUACAAACUGUGAAAGCAUGGCCUAUCGAUCCUUUAACUUUACAAGUUUUAAGUCUAGAGGUGUCAGAAAGUUACCACAGGGAUAACUGGCUUGUGGCAGCCAAGCGUCCAUAGCG